GAAAACAAAAUCAGAAAAAGACAAUGAAGAAAAAAUCAAAAACUGUGAGGCACUGGCUACGAAACAGAAUUGUACGGCCCCCUAUAAUUUUAGAUACCACUGUGUUUUAAACUACGAAGACGAUACACUUGUAGAAGUUUGUGCACCUGUGAUUUUCAUAAAGUUUAGAAACUGUGUAGCGUUUAACAAGGCAACAGGAGAAUUGAUGCCUCACUGGAAAAGAAAAUGCGACAAAGCCUCAUUACCCUGCCCAAACAAUUACGAGUCUACACAUUUCUAUCUUUACCCCUCCUGCUAUGAAGUUUAUGAAAAUUUUUCAGCAGAUGAAAAGGAAUAUUUUUUCAAA
This is a long non-coding RNA of Saccostrea echinata, 346 nucleotides long. RefSeq lists it as uncharacterized. The transcript has 3 exons. The record is from RefSeq and is a predicted model, not a curated record. Lineage: Eukaryota; Metazoa; Mollusca; Bivalvia; Ostreida; Ostreidae.